CUCCUGAACCGCAGCAUAUCCAGUUAGUAAUUCCCCUCAAAGCCUUCUUCCGAACUUGUCAACAACAAUAUUCUCUGAAGGCUCCUUCACCCUGUACAAUUUUAAUUAAGAAACGACAUGACAAAUUAUCAAUACUGCAAAGAAUGACAAAACGACUGGUUGCCUUGGCUAAAGUUAAAUUUGCAGUUGCGUGCUAACAUACAUGAGGUCGUCAGAAUCCGUUCGUGCAUUUCUAAUGAAGGAACACCUCCGCUGCGAAAUAAUAGGUCAAAGGUUCGAGUCAUGUAAAAAAUAACGGCACCACUAUGAUUCUUGUUGAUGGGGGAGGAAGGAAAACAACUUUCUAAAUCAAAGUUAGGGAGGUUGUUUUCGAUAGACCCUCAGCUCAAGGAAAAAUAAUUCAAAGCAGUUCGGAAAAGGAAGUAAUGGAAAUGAAGAAAGCUCACAUCAAAGCUUGAAGGGCUUCAAAUUUAAGGUCCAUGGUCCCUAUAACUAUGAGGAGAGUAUUUUAACUCAAAAUUCUGAAUUUACUCUAGCAGUAAUCUCCAAAUAAAAUAUUUACAUGAAUCUAUAAACUGCACAGCGUGUAAAGUACUCAUUCACAAGUGGGCUUUGACGAGUAGAUAUUCAAGCAAAAUAUUGUGCAAUGUAUUCUGAUGCACACUUCCCUGCCCAAUCAAAGAGGCAUGUAGCAGCACCAAUUAAAAAGCAUACAACCCAUAUCUUCCAGUUCAGUCGCAAAGUGUCACUAAAUAGAGGUGCUGCCUGACCACAUGCCAACUGCAAAAGAAUAAGAACUCCAAAUGCUGCCCAAAGCAAAUAAUUACAACAACCAAUGAAGAUGUUCUUCUUCUCCGGCUCUCGGGCGCAUAAAAUGCUGAAAAAUUGGCAGAAAGCAAGCCCGUUGAAUAUUAUGGAUUUACAAACCUGUUGAUUACUGAUUCCAUGGAUGUUUCUUCCUUUGCAUAGAAGGGCCACAAAUAUGACAAUCUGGUAAGUAACUUGAAUUAUAACAUUCCUCCACAUGGCCUUCGUUAUUAGGGGUUUGCUACAUGUUUUGAUGUCAGAGAGACGACGUCGUUCAUCCUCCAGUUUUUUUGAGGAUUGUCCUGAGAACAAUGCUAGGCCUCCAGGAAACGUAAUAAGAAAGUUGAGCCAGAUUAAUUGAAGAGCCGUUAAUGGAGCAUCUCCCAUAAUCAUUACUGUUAUCAAGUUUAUUACCCAACUAGCAAGAGUCAGAAUGAGCUCUAUUUGGAUAAAUUUCCUCACAUUCCCACUAAUAAAUCUUCCAAGCUUCAACAUACCUAUCACGUAAUCGAAACUCCAAGUAUCUAUGUACAUGCCAAAGUCUGCCUUUUGGAUUACUAGACCAUCAAACGUGCGUUCUCCAAGCAUUAGAACCACUUCCCCUUUUAGCUUCAAGCAUUUUACGAGAAGAAGCUUGUGAGGAAGGGAGGCAUUUCCCACAAUGCAGAUUCUAUCUAUUUUCUCCAUCUUGUCCGCAUCGGUGAGUUCAUGAAAAUCCUCACCAUUAACCACCAGAGCAUCGUCCGAGUCAGUGUUAUUAAUCAAUCCAACUUCACGGAUGAUGUUUUUAAAUUCAUCAGCAUCAUCUUCGGAGACGAAUAUUGUCUUCACUUCACCUUCUGUGAGAGUUUUAACAGCAAUAUCUCUGAUAAUUUCCUGAUGAUUUUGCUGUGUUAACCAACCAUUCUUUACAGAACAAACAAUAGUAACCGAUGCCUCUAACUUGAGAAGCAAUGCUGUAUCAAUUUUGGAAUAGUCCUUGUAGGAUACUAUCUUUCGUUUCCAACAGACGAUUGCUCUAGAAACAACAAGAGAUAAUCCUUCCGUCAUCCCCACCAAUGAGACACACAGCAGGGUUCUUAAUUUGGAAUCUCUAGAAACUUUUGUGAUGGAAUUUACUAUCUGACUAAAUUUGGCUGGUUCUUUCUCAAUUUCUAGUUCGUAUUCAUGCUCUUCAUCUGUUUGCCGUAAUUUAAAGCGCACGAACAAAACCACAAAGCUUAGAAUGCUAAUGACAAGCCCAGCUACAUUAAUUUUAAUGCGCAACUUCUCAAAACAAGCAUCAAAACCGAAACCUGUAUGUGAAGUACUUUUGGUAAUUGCUUGUCUCAUUCUUUCAGUCCACUGAUCUGCCUCAUCACCAACACAUGAUGUCGCUAUCAUCUUAGCGUCACCCUUAAUCACUUUGGAACCAAGUGAUAAAAAAGGGUUCUGUUCAUUGAUACACAGCUCCACAUCAUCGUCGUCAUCAUCAUCUCGUACCUCUAAAGCUUCCCCACAAUUAGAAACAAAUAUCCCAUUUGCAGGGACUAAGUCUCCACUUCUUAAAAAAAUUAUAUCACCAUAAACAAGAUCAGAGAAUGGAACCACAUCCUCAACUCCUCCUCUAAUAACACGGACCUUCUUUGUCUCCCGAUGCAUCUUCACUUUUCGCUCCUCCAUCUUCUUCAUCAAUAUUUUGUCUUCCCAAUAUAUCCGCCCAAACUUAAGCAUAAUAAGUCCAAGUACGGACAUAAGUAGAAUCAGAUUGUCAAGCCAACAAUUCUGUAUCCCCUCUUCGUCAAUUCCAAAGGCACAGGAAAGUAUUGUAGCCACUGCAAGCAAGGAAAUAGUCCAGCCUUUGACUGCCUCAAACAACAAGUAGAAGAACAUGAAUACAACAGGUACACAUGUCUGAGGAAACUUGAUCAUUGCGUCGCGCAGGCGAAUAUCUUCAGUGGCACCAGCAAUUCCAUUUUCCAGGUGACUAUCCAAUGCUUCAGCAAAUCCAAUGACUCCUCCGAAGUCAUAAAGUUCAUCCCAGUUCUUCUCUUGGACAAUACGGUUAAUGUAGUUCCUUUGGAGAACUUGCAUCUCACCACAACUUUCGUCAUCCGGAGGCUCAAGUUCUGCAUCAUCAUCAGUAAUUGGUCCACUUUCUAAAUCCUGUCGAAACACCAGAGUAAUUGAUCAGUUAGUUACUUCACCACUGGAGAAAAUUAGCAAAGAAAGAUAUAUUUUUUUAAAGUGGUGGCUACAGAUAAGCAUGAGUUCUGUAGAUAUUUGACAGGCAUGAAGCCUGUCCAUAAUUCUUCUACUUGAAGAUCCAUUUGGCCCCUUGGAUGGAGGGGAGAUAUAGCCUAAUUUUAUUUUAUUUAGGUUUUGAUUCCUAUUUGAAAUUCGUUUUGGCUUUAAGAGAAGAGCCAUUUAUUAUCUAUAAAGAGAGUAACCUUUGAGAAUUAUUUCAUGGUCAUUGGUAUCAGUUUUAAAAGACUUUAGCACAUAAGAUAGGUGUUAAGAUAUGAAAUAGAACUCUGAAAGGGUAAUUUUGUAAUUUCAUACAGUAAGUUAGUUAGCUAUAACUAAUUGUCCUAGAGUUAGUUAGAUUAGGAGUUAAGUGUAGCUAGUUAUCAACAAACUAUCAAAUUAUAUAAGGCCUUAUGUUUGAAUGGGAUUAAUUACAAUUACAAUAUAUGAAAAAGCAAGGCGAGAGAUCUACUAUUUCUGAAGAGGAUGCAUUUGUCCACUUUUGCUGCUCAUAAACUUGAGUCUUUGACCGAUGAAAGUGGAGAUUUUGAGCACCACAAGUCGGUGGAUAUAUAAGACAAUGAGGUCAAGGCAAUGGUCGUAAUAAAUGAGAUACAUAUUAGAUCAUUGUGGUAACAGUGAAAGACACUUCAUGCUUAAAAAACUAGCAAUAACAAGUCUUCCUGCUAAAGCAAUUGAUGAGCUUGAAAUACAAGGAGGUGGCAGUCCUAUUAUUGAUCAUAUAAAUAAUUUUUAAGGUGUUACUCACCAGAAUGAGUGUUAAUUUUGAUGAUGAGAUACAAGGACUUUGGCUUCUUAAUACUCUACGGAUUUUUUGAGAAACUUCAUGUUUCUUUGAGAAAUUCAGCUCCCUACAGUAAGGUAACCAUGUAAUAUGCAAAGAGCGGUGUGUUGAAUAAAAAAGUAAGGAGAAAAUUUCGAGGUUCGUCCUCACAGUCAGAUGUUCUAUUUUUAGAAGACUGAGGGAGAGAUAAAACAAAAGGUCCAAGAAAUAGAGGUAAAAGCAUAAGCAAAUAAAAGUCCAGGUAACUGAAAUAUUUGAGCAAUCAUUGUGGCAAGAAGACAUAACAAAUAAUGUUACACAAGCUUAAGCAAGAAAUUAGAGAAGAAAAGAGAACUGAAAAUAAUGGAAACAAUGUCAUUGCUGUAAUUUGAGAUGACCUUUUCUUUGUCUGUGAUGGACAUUCUAUAAAUUUGAUAUCUAAAGAGACCUAUUGAAUAGUGGAUUCUGGAGCUAUAUCUCAUAUCACGUCUAAGAAAUACUCUUUUUCAUUUUAUGUUCCUAAUGAUUUUGGAGUGUAAGUGAUGAACGAUGUUGGUGAGGUUAAAGUGAUUGAUGUUGGUACAAUUUUUGUCUUGCUUUUUCAUAUGUUGUGAUUAUUCCUAUUUCAAAAAAGGGGCCAAAUAUACCCCUUGUUAUACUUUCGAUUCAAAUAUACCCUUUGCUGCUAUACUUUCGGUGAAAAUAUGCCCUCAUCUGUUAAGACUGUCCAAGGUGAACACCAGGUUUGAUGUGGCAAUGACAACUCGGUGAGUUGGAUACCAUGUGGCAUGACACCUUAUCACGUCAACCCAUUUAGCCUCCUCUUCCCGCCACCUGUCUCCCCCGCUUGCGCCGACAGUGGUAGCGGCGGGGAUGAUUCAUAUUCACUCAGCUGUUUUUGCCCUUCCGACGAUCUUUCCCUCCGUUCCGUUGGAUUGUAACGUCGUGGUGAUGGACUUCAAAGCCCUGCUUGGGGAGCUCUGGUGAACCAUCAUCAACUCUCUGAUUGUCACAGUGCACUUUGAAGUGGUUGUCCAAUCAAUAGGGAAUUAAAAUGCUUCUCGCAAGAUUCCUCACUUCCAGGUCCACUUCUCUGAGUGUUUCCUCUUUAAUUCCUAUAUUUUCUCAUUCAAUUUCAUCACUACCAUGUUCUAAACCACCUGUAGAAAUUCGCCACUAAUUUUGACGAAACUCAUGUCCUAAAUCAACUUUCCGACCUUUUAUCCAUCUGUUAAUCAGUGACAAGUUAGGGUUUUGGAUGAGCUUUCAACUCCCGGAGAGUUGAUUAUGGUUCACUAGAGCUCUCUAAGCAGGUCUUUGAAGUCCGCCACCACAGCGUUACAAUCCAAAGGAACGGAGGGAAAGAUUGUCGGAAGGGGAAAACGGUUGAGUGACAUUCCAUCGUCAUUGCUGCUACCUCUGUUGCCGCAAGUAGAGUAGGCAGGUGGCAGGAAAGAGAGGGAUAUAUGAGUUGACGUGGUGAGGUGGCAUGCCACGUGGUUUUCACCUCACCGAGUUGUCAGUACCACACUAGACCUUGUGUCCACCUUAGACAAUUUUAACGGAGAAGGUGUAUAUUUGGACCGAAAGUAUAACGACAAAGGUAUAUUUGAAUCGAAAGUAUAACGAGGGGUAUAUCUGGCUCCUUUCCGAUAGUACAUGGUAUAUAUGGCCCUUUUCCGUUCCUAUUUUAAACAUAUCUUACUGCUCAUAUUUGUGAAGAAGAUGCAUUAGCCAUUUUUCGCUGCUCCUCAUAAUAAAUCGAGUAUAUGAUUGAUGAAAAUUGGGUUUUGAGCACCAACAAGUAUGUGCAUGUAUAAGACAAUAGGAGAUAAUUUUUGUAACUAUAUUAUAAAUGAGAUACAUGCUAGAUCAUAGUGGAAAAAGUUGAAGACACUUUAUGCUGAAAAAACUAGCAAUAAAAAGUCUUCCUGCUAAAGCAAUUGAUGACCUUUAAAUACAAGGGGGUGGCAGUCCUAUUCUUGAUCAUAUAAGUAAUUUUCAAGGUUUCAUUAAAUUGUUGGGUAGAAUGGGUGUUAAUUUUGAUGAUAAGAUACAUAGACUUUGACUUCUUAAUGCUAUGCUAGAUUCUUUGAGAAACUCUUCAUGCUUCUUUGAGAAAUUCCUAUUGAUAAGGUAACCGUGGAGUAUAUCGAGAGUGGUAUGUUGAAUAUGAAAGCAAGGAGAAAAUCUCAAUGUUCGUCCUCACAGUCAGAUGUUUUAUUUAUAGCCAGAAAGAGAGAUAAAAUAAAAGGUCCGAGGAAUGGAGGUCAAAGCAUAAGCAAGUCAAGGUUUAGGUAACAAUUACAUGGAAAUGAAAGAAUCCGGAGUGAUUAAUGAAGAAAAUUCUGCAGAAUCAAAGGUGGCCCAAGUUUAUUGGUGCAAUGAUUGUGGCAAGAAAAUACAUACUAGAAUAUGCUUCAAUAAGCUUAAGCAAGACACUAGAGAAGGAAAGAGAGAUGUUCUUCUCUUUGCCUGUGAUGAAAAUGCCAUCAAUUUGGUAUCCCAAAAGAUUAGUUGGAUAGUAGAUUCUGGAGCUGCAUCUCAUAUCACGUCCUUUGAAGUGUAAAUGAUGAACAAUGCUGGUGAGGUUAAAGUGAUUAAUGUUGGCACAAUUUAUUUAAAGACUAAUAAGGGUUCGACGUUAGUUGCUCAAAACGUUAAACAUAUAUAUAUAUAUAUAUAUUUUUUUUUUAAAAAAAAAAAUUUGAUCUUGUUGGAAAACUAUAUGUUGAAGGUUAUUAUAAUGCCUUCUUUAAUGACCAAUGGAAGCUCACCAACGACUCGUUAGUUGUGAUUUGAGGAAGCUUAUGCAUCAAUUUGUCUCUUGCCGUUGCUAAUUGGAUGGUGAUAUUCCUGACAAAGUUUGAUUUGCCAAGAAUGUUUCUAAUGAUCACUUAAAAGUUAUUGGGUGUGAA
Lycium ferocissimum is the source of this 6735-nucleotide long non-coding RNA. RefSeq lists it as uncharacterized. NCBI's taxonomy places the organism in Eukaryota, Viridiplantae, Streptophyta, Magnoliopsida, Solanales, Solanaceae. The transcript has 4 exons. The record is from RefSeq and is a predicted model, not a curated record.